RNAcentral lists this ribosomal RNA (1324 nucleotides) under metagenome. Its description in RNAcentral is "bacterial LSU rRNA". It matches the Rfam family "Bacterial large subunit ribosomal RNA", at positions 1561 to 2925 of the family's 2925-position model. The record is from RNAcentral.
AGUGGAUGGGGAGCAACCUAGUUGUGCGUGUGUAAAGGUAGUGCCAAGAAAAGCGGUGAUCAUGAUGAAAAUCAAUUCCCGGUACCCGAAACCGACACAGGUGGGCAAGUAGAGAAUACUAAGGGGCGCGAGGUAACUCUCUCCAAGGAACUCGGCAAAAUGACCCCGUAACUUAGGGAGAAGGGGUGCCACCGAGAGGUGGUCGCAGUGAAGAGGCCCAGGCGACUGUUUAGCAAAAACAUAGGUCUCUGCAAACUCGAAAGAGGAGGUAUAGGGGCUGACGCCUGCCCAGUGCCGGAAGGUUAAAGAAGUUGGUCAGUCUUAGGAUGAAGCUAGCGACUGAAGCCCCAGUGAACGGCGGCCGUAACUAUAACGGUCCUAAGGUAGCGAAAUUCCUUGUCGGGUAAGUUCCGACCCGCACGAUAGGCGUAACGAUCUGGGCGCUGUCUCGGAGAGAGGCUCGGCGAAAUAGGAUUGUCUGUGAAGAUACGGACUACCUGCAUUUGGACAGAAAGACCCUAUGAAGCUUUACUAUAGCUUGGAAUUGUGUUCGGGCUUCCUGUGCGCAGGAUAGGUGGGAGGCGUAGAAGGUAUUCUUGUGGGGAUACUGGAGCCAACGGUGAGAUACCACUCUCAGGAGGCUAGAAUUCUAACUUAAUUAAGGACAGUUUCAGGUGGGUAGUUUGACUGGGCGGUCGCCUCCAAAAAGGUAACGGAGGCGUACAAAGGUUCCCUCAGACUGGUUGGAAAUCAGUCGAAGAGUGCAAAGGCAGAAGGGAGCUUGACUGCGAGAAGUACAGUUCGAGCAGGGUGGAAACACGGUCUUAGUGAUCCGACGGUGCUGUGUGGAAGGGCCGUCGUUCAACGGAUAAAAGUUACUCUAAGGAUAACAGGCUGAUCUCCCCCAAGAGUUCACAUCGACGGGGAGGUUUGGCACCUCGAUGUCGGCUCAUCGCAACCUGGGGCGGAAGUACGUCCCAAGGGUUGGGCUGUUCGCCCAUUAAAGCGGUACGUGAGCUGGGUUCAGAACGUCGUGAGACAGUUCGGUCCAUAUCCGAUGUAGGCGUGAGAAUAUUGAGAGGAGCCUUCCUUAGUACGAGAGGACCGGGAAGGACGCACCGCUGGUGUACCUGUUAUGAUGCCAAUUGUAAACGCAGGGUAGCCAAGUGCGGAGAGGAUAACCGCUGAAAGCAUCUAAGUGGGAAGCCCACCUCAAGAUGAGUAUUCUGGUGUAAGGUCACGGUAAGACGACCCGUAAAUAGGCACGAGGUGGAAGUGCAGAGAUGUAUGAAGCCGAAGUGUACUAAUAGACCGUCGGCUUGAC